This 569-nucleotide ribosomal RNA is filed under the name uncultured bacterium. RNAcentral describes it as "bacterial SSU rRNA". It matches the Rfam family "Bacterial small subunit ribosomal RNA", at positions 338 to 913 of the family's 1533-position model. The record is from RNAcentral.
CCUACGGGAGGCAGCAGUAAGGAAUAUUGGUCAAUGGACGAAAGUCUGAACCAGCCAUGCCGCGUGAAGGAUUAAGGCCCUCUGGGUUGUAAACUUCUUUUAUCUGGGACGAAAAAAGGGUAUUCUUACUCACUUGACGGUACCAGAGGAAUAAGCACCGGCUAACUCCGUGCCAGCAGCCGCGGUAAUACGGAGGGUGCAAGCGUUAUCCGGAUUUACUGGGUUUAAAGGGUGCGUAGGUGGGCUUGUAAGUCAGUGGUGAAAUCUCCGGGCUUAACCCGGGAAACUGCCAUUGAUACUAUAGGUCUUGAAUUAUCUGGAGGUAAGCGGAAUAUGUCAUGUAGCGGUGAAAUGCUUAGAUAUGACAUAGAACACCAAUUGCGAAGGCAGCUUACUACGGAUAUAUUGACACUGAGGCACGAAAGCGUGGGGAUCAAACAGGAUUAGAUACCCUGGUAGUCCACGCCCUAAACGAUGGAUACUCGACAUCAGCGAUACACUGUUGUGUCUGAGCGAAGCAUUAGUAUCCACCUGGGAAUACGAUCGCAGAUUGAACUUAAGAUAGUGCG